CCUACGGGUGGCUGCAGUGGGGAAUAUUGCACAAUGGGCGCAAGCCUGAUGCAGCCAUGCCGCGUGUGUGAAGAAGGCCUUCGGGUUGUAAAGCACUUUCAGCGGGGAGGAAGGCGGUGAGGUUAAUAACCUCAUCGAUUGACGUUACCCGCAGAAGAAGCACCGGCUAACUCCGUGCCAGCAGCCGCGGUAAUACGGAGGGUGCAAGCGUUAAUCGGAAUUACUGGGCGUAAAGCGCACGCAGGCGGGCUGUCAAGUCGGAUGUGAAAUCCCCGGGCUCAACCUGGGGACUGCAUUCGAAACUGGCAGGCUAGAGUCUUGUAGAGGGGGGUAGAAUUCCAGGUGUAGCGGUGAAAUGCGUAGAGAUCUGGAGGAAUACCGGUGGCGAAGGCGGCCCCCUGGACAAAGACUGACGCUCAGGUGCGAAAGCGUGGGGAGCAAACAGGAUUAGAUACCCCAGUAGUC
This 465-nucleotide ribosomal RNA is filed under the name uncultured Klebsiella sp. RNAcentral's name for it is "bacterial SSU rRNA". It matches the Rfam family "Bacterial small subunit ribosomal RNA", at positions 338 to 795 of the family's 1533-position model. Lineage: Bacteria; Pseudomonadati; Pseudomonadota; Gammaproteobacteria; Enterobacterales; Enterobacteriaceae. The record is from RNAcentral.